UGCUAUAAAACUCACCUUCAGUUUUUAAAACUGUAGUUGCACUACAGCAGGAUACUUGUACUAUUGUCAGUUGCUCCAUGCAAAUUUAACAGGGAAUGCUCUAGCCAAACCAAAUGGCCAACUUAGAAAAAAUCUGUGUUUUCGACAUGCUUGUUAUUAUACUCUAACUUGUGGCUUGCUUCUCGUGUAGAUGUUCUACAUAUAUGUCAAAAAAAGCGGAUUUCAUGUGCCAGGAAGCGUAGAAGAUGUGAGAUUUUUUUUUUGGAAUGAGAAGAAUCAAAGGAUACAACAAAAAAUUCAGUCUGAAAUUUGAUUUGUGUGUUUACAAAUCUUUCCUUUAUGGGUAUUUGAAACCUUAAGAUUAUUCUGUUACUAUGGGAUUUUGUAGUGUCAUGGACAAGACAUACUGACACUGUUUGCAUAUCAAGAUUGUUGAUUUUUGUUUGGAAAUCAAGUUGUUUGAUAACUUUCAGUGUGUAUGCUUGUUGAUAUAGUGUGUAUGCUUGCUGAUAUUGUUAAUUCAAAUAGAUGCUGGUAUUGUUUAAAUGUAGUGGAGGUUUCAUGUGUUGGAAAGGAGGUGAGAGAGAAAAAAUAAGAUGAUGACAUCACAUAGAGUAGCUUCCAUUGGGUGAUAGUGGCAUACAACAAUAGCUUCAUUCAAAUUUACCUAUGUGGAUGGCUGGGGCAGCACCAAGGUGCUGCCUCCAUUGUACAUGCCCUAAGGGCAUGGCCAAUGGGCCACGCUGGACGGGCGCCCCAUGUGCCACCUCCUCCUGCCGAGUGCCACAUCAACCAAACCUGUGGCUUGCAGAUCGAAACGGGCUCCUGCAGAAGAACUCGCUUCUUCGCUGACGAAACCAACGAGGCGGCCGCUGGGGCGACGCGGUGGGAGGUCCGUCGCUCCGCUCGAUUCGGGACCACACUCGCCCAACAAAAUCCCGCGAGCGAGAGGGGAAGGGCGCGAAAGAGAGAAGGGAAGGGCGGGAAGGGGAGAAGAGAAGGGCGCGAACCAGGGAGCGGAGGCGCGGCGCGCAAACCAGGGAGCGGAGGCGCGGCGCGCGAACCAGCGGAGAAGGCAGCGCACCUCGUCCUCAACCUGCCGUCGACAUCCGACUGCAGCUCUUGCUGCAAGGUACGAGUCUAGUUCUUCCCCUGCUUCUUCUUGUGGUCAUGGCCAGAUUUAUUUUGCUCAGUAAACUAGGCUAGGGUUCCAAGAACAGAUCCGUUGCAAGAAGAUUGAUUCCCCUGUGUGUGAUUUUGGUUCAAUCUAUUUGAGUCAGGCAACCAUGCUUGUGGAAAUCCUGAAAUCCCCAUCUUUUUUCUUCUUAGCCCUGAGAGAAACAUGUCAGAUCAGCCUUGGUACUCUGCUCUUUGCAAUUGUGAAGAGAAAAUUAUGCUAAUUAGCUAGGUGCAGAUGCAGAUGGCUAGGUGCAGAUGCUGAUUUGCUAGCCCUGAGAGAAACAUGUCAAAUCCUGAAAUCCCCAUCUUUGUUUUUAUUUGCUAAUGGCUAGGUGCAGAUGCUGAAUUCUUUUGCUAGAUGUACUAGUAGUUGGUAUAUUAUUAGACUAGCAUAAUCACAGGGAUGCUGGUACUAUUAGUUGUUGUACUAGGUGCAGAUGUUGAAUUCUUUUGCUAGACUUACUAGCCUUAUUCAGGAAAUGUGACUGCCAUCAAGAUGUUUUGGUAUAGAGUUAAUUUGAACAGAGUUCUGACUGUUAUAACAUCUAUGUACGUUGGUCAAUUUGGUCCCUUGUGCUAGCUGCAUAUACUGAUAAAGAAAGAGUAGUGCUAGUCUGCUGAAGGUGCCAUAUCCGUGUUAUUUUUUUUUCUUUUUUUGAGAAAUAGCUGGUAGGAUUAAGAGCUUAGAACACUUGGACACUUUGCUAUCUUUUUAUUGUUCUUUGGUAGUUCCGAGUAUGCUAUUUGCACAUGAAUAUUAUUCUUCCCAUCCAAAUUAUAGUUUCAUGUGUGUUGUGUGCAUAAUUCUUAUUACUUGAUUUUUAAAUUGUAGCUCAACUUGCAAUAUGUCACAAUUGAGUUCCGAUGAGUUCGAAGAUGAUACCAUUGACCCAACAGAAAUUUUCUCUCUAGAAGAUUACUUGGCACAACAGAAUACUCUCAACAACUUUGCUACACAAAUAGCCACAAACAUUCAUCAUACACUAGAAGGUCCAAGUACUAGGCGUCAGUCAGCCCCUAGGACAUAUAUUGACAGGAAGAGAGAAUUUUACAAUGAACUUCUCAUAGCAGAUUACUUCUGUGAUAAUCCUACCUAUCCUGAUUACUACUUCCGUAGAAGGUUCCGCAUGGGAAAACCCCUCUUUCUACGCAUUGUUCAAGCUCUUGGUGAGUGGUCUCCCUACUUCACUCAAAGGGUAGAUGCCCUAGGCCGUCCAGGUCUAUCACCUUUACAGAAGUGCACAGCAGCCAUGCAUAUGUUGGCGUAUGGUGUUCCUGCUGACAAAACAGAUGACCAUAUAAGACUUGGUGCAUCUACGGCACUCGAGUCUCUUGAGAAAUUUGCUAAGGGGGUCAUUGCCAAGUUUGGUGGGGAAUAUUUGCGAAGGCCAACUGUUGAAGACAUUCAACGUCUACUAGAAAUUGGCGAAGCACGUGGUUUUCCUGGUAUGCUAGGAAGCAUAGACUGCAUGCAUUGGGAGUGGAAAAACUGUCCUGUUGGAUGGAAGGGGCAGUUUACACGUGGUGACUAUGGUGUCCCUACCAUCAUCCUUGAGGCUGUUGCAUCCCAUGAUCUAUGGAUAUGGCAUGCCUUCUUUGGUGUCCCAGGAUCCAACAAUGACAUCAAUGUGCUCAAUCAGUCGCCAUUGUUCACUGAAACAUUGCAAGGGAAUGCUCCUAGGGUAGACUACUAUGUCAAUGAGCAACAAUACAAGAAGGGAUAUUAUCUUGCAGAUGGAAUAUAUCCGGAGUGGGCUGUUUUUGUGAAAACCAUUCGGCUGCCUCAAACUGAAAAGGACAAGUUAUUUGCGAAGAAACAAGAAGGUGCGAGAAAGGAUGUUGAACGUGCAUUUGGAGUUCUACAACAACGCUUCAAAAUUGUCGCAGAACCAUCACGGCUUUGGGAUCAAAUAGAUAUCUGCAACAUAAUGGAAGCAUGUGUGAUCAUGCACAACAUGAUACUUGAAGAUGAGAAGGGCGUGGAGUUACCCUUCGAUUUGAAUGAAGCUUUAGGAACAUCCACUGCUCUGCCGCCGACAGCGAUUAGUGGGGCUACACCUUUGUUCACCGACGUGAUUAGAAGAGAUGUUGAGAUACGUGACCGGUCCAUGCACAAUCGACUCAAGCAUGAUUUGGUUGAGCAUAUUUGGAAGAAAUUCGGUGAAGCUACAAACAACUAGUUGUAGUUUACAACUGUUGAUGCGUUGGUGUAUCUCUCUGUGUGUGUGUGUGUGUGUGAGAGAGAGAGAGAGAGAGAGAGGGUGUGUGUGUGUCUCUGUGUUAGAGAGAGAGAGAGAGCAGUGAGUUUUAAGACUAUGUUUGAAUUGUAUGUGUUGUCAAGUGUUUUAAGACUAUCUUUGAAUUUACUCUAAAUUAUGCAUACUGACUUGUGUUGUGUACUUGCUUGAAUUUCACUUAGUACUUCAGUUAAGUGUGAACUCGGCAUGUUAACUAUCUAUGUUAACUAUCAUAAUAACAAACAUUUUUCUUCUUUCAGCUGCAAUGGAAUACCGUCCUCCUAAUGGUUUCAUGAGCUUCCUUCAAGGCCAAAGUCAUCCAAACUUCACUUUGCCAGCCCCUCAGCAGCUUGGUUUCCAAUAUCCAAUGUUCUGCACGCAGCCGCCGCCACCACCAGCCAAGCACCACCCUCUUCCAUCAACGUCUAAUCCCAGGACCACAACUCCAUCGAACAAGCGAAAACGUGUCACAAUCGAUGUGGAAGCAGAUGAUGAAGAUAGACAGAGGUUGUACUAUACAAAAGAUGAGGACCUCAGAUUGGUAAGGCCCCCAAAUCCUCUUAUUCUUGUCAUGUAGACAUCAAAGAUAUCUCAUGUCUUGCUACCUAAAAUUUAUUUAGGCUGGCUCCUAGUUUUAUACUUUUGUACUUGCAUUUUGUCUUUUGUUUAAUUAAAUUUAACCGUAUACUUACUUCCUUUGUGCAGGUGAGUGCUUGGUUAAGCAAAUCUGUGAAUCCAAUCGAUGGGAAUGCCAAGAAGGGGGAAUACUACUGGAAGGAGGUUGUUGAUACAUACAACAGCACAACAGAGAGUGACCGACAAAGGGAUGUGAAGCACCUCAAGAACCAUUGGUACAAAACAACAAAGAAGGUAACCUCUUUCAAUGGCUGCUAUAACCAGAUGAGAGAUACCUAUGCGAGUGGCCGGUGUGAUAAACAAUUGAUGCAGCAAGCGCUAGACCUGUACCAAAGCCGCAAUGGGCACCAGUUCCUGUAUGUGCAUUGGUGGGAAGCUGUGAAAGACAGCCAAAAGUGGAAGAUUCAUGUAUACACAGAAGGAGAUGGAACAAAGAGGUCAGCACCAAUACCAACUGAGAAUGCUCAGCGUCCCCCAGGAACAAAGAGGGCGAAGAAAGCUACAGGAAAAGAUAAGGAAGCACCUACUGAGAUGAAUAACAUGAAAGAACAGAUUGAGGUCUUUCUACAAGCACAAGCUGAUGCUAAGGAGCGAACUGCUGAGAUGAUGGAAUUGCAGAGUCGAUUGUCUGCUCAGAAGGUAGAAGCUAAUCGACUUGCAUAUGAGGCAGCAAAGGAGAGGACAGUGGCCAAGUUAGCAGAGGAAAGAACAAAGUUGUUUGACAAGUUCACAGAUAUGUUGAAUGCUGACACAACAAGAAUGGAGCCAUGGGCAAAGGAGAUGCAUAUGAAGGCUGUUACAAGAUUGGGGGAUCAACUUUUCAAAAAGGAGGAAUAGAAGGUAUGUAAUAUUCCUGUGUGUGUCAUAUUCCUUUGUUCUCCAUCUUGAUUCCUGUCAUAUUCCUGUGUGUAUCCUAUUCUUGCAUUUUCCUAUUCCUGAUCUAAUUUUGUUCUCCCUGUAAGGUAUGAGGUUACUCCUUCCCUUGUCUCUUCUUGUUAGGAUUAAUAACUUAGAACACAUACCACUUGAUGUACUUUAGAAACAAAUGCUAGAAUCUGCAUGUGUUCGUUACGAAGUCCACAUAUAUGUUCCACUAAAAGUCUGCACUAUUGUUUUUGAAAUAUGCAUUGUACUCAGAAAUCUACACUGUACUGUACCCAGAAAUCUGCACUAUUGUUUUUAAAAUAUGCAUUGUACUCAUAAAUCUACACUGUACUGUACCCAAAAAUCUGCACUAUUGUUUGAAAUGCUAUUUUUUAAUUAGAAUGAUGGUUGUGCUAUAAAACUCACCUUCAGUUUUUAAAACUGUAGUUGCACUACAGCAGGAUACUUGUACUAUUGUCAGUUGCUCCAUGCAAAUUUAACAGGGAAUGCUCUAGCCAAACCAAAUGGCCAACUUAGAAAAAAUAUGUGUUUUCGACAUGCUUGUUAUUAUACUCUAACUUGUGGCUUGCUUCUCGUGUAGAUGUUCUACAUAUAUGUCAAAAAAGCGGAUUUCAUGUGCCAGGAAGCGUAGAAGAUGUGAGAGUUUUUUUUGGAAUGAGAAGAAUCAAAGGAUACAACAAAAAAUUCAGUCUGAAAUUUGAUUUGUGUGUUUACAAAUCUUUCCUUUAUGGGUAUUUGAAACCUUAAGAUUAUUCUGUUACUAUGGGAUUUUGUAGUGUCAUGGACAAGACAUACUGACACUGUUUGCAUAUCAAGAUUGUUGAUUUUUGUUUGGAAAUCAAGUUGUUUGAUAACUUUCAGUGUGUAUGCUUGUUGAUAUAGUGUGUAUGCUUGCUGAUAUUGUUAAUUCAAAUAGAU
This 5855-nucleotide long non-coding RNA is filed under the name Triticum aestivum (bread wheat). RNAcentral describes it as "long non-coding RNA (TAES_LNC001371)". The record is from RNAcentral. Lineage: Eukaryota; Viridiplantae; Streptophyta; Magnoliopsida; Poales; Poaceae.